Long non-coding RNA from Taeniopygia guttata (zebra finch), 1886 nucleotides. RefSeq lists it as uncharacterized. NCBI's taxonomy places the organism in Eukaryota, Metazoa, Chordata, Aves, Passeriformes, Estrildidae. The record is from RefSeq and is a predicted model, not a curated record.
GCCCCGCUCACUCCCCCGGGGUCUCAGGAACACGGUCCCACAAUAAGCACGUGUUUGCACCCGAGCCCCGUGUCGCCAUUUCGUCUGUUCCCGCGUGGACUGAGCCUCGCAGAGACGAGGGGAAAGCGGCCGCCGUCUCCCCCCCCCCCCACCCCCGCCGUGCGUGCCCACAGGCGUCCCCCUGGAGCCGAUCUUGCACGGCAACAAAUGGUAGCAGAGGACGGUUAUUUCCAUCGAUUUGUGAAAGGGGGGAGAGAGAAAGGAACUCUGCUGCCGCAAGAGCUCUGCAGACUCUAAGAGGAGUGGAUUGACCGGGCGGAAAACAAACUCGAAGCUCCGGGACCCUCUUCGGUCCUCGCCGGCAUGCUCUCUAACCCGCCCGAGAGCAGCCGCGCUGCGGGGGCAGCCAGACUGCAGAGGCCGGGAGCGGGGUAGACUUACCCGAGGACAAAGAGGACAGUUUGGCAGUGGCUUGAUGGACUGAGCUUGAAGAGUGGCCCGUCAGGGGGACGGCAUUUGAAUGGGGACCUGAGGUUGAUAGUGGCCGAACCCAGGGUUUCAAGGGCGAGCUCUGGUUAACGGGAACACCCAGACUUCUGGGAGAAGCCAAACCGCGAAAUAAUACGUUCUCAGUUUAGUGUGAUUUUCCACCACCGAGGAGAGAGAUAGAGAUUUCCCCGUCUGAGCCCAGAGGGGUGACAUUGGCCGUGCCUCCCCAGGCGAGAUGCAGUGCACCUGGCAACCCCUCCCAAGAUGGCGCUGGCCAAGCUACAGGGACCCCAUUUUUCCGCCUUGAUCCUUCUCUUCCGCCCACGUUUUCGCGCCCACCCCACCCUUCCCCCAAUGGCACUGCACCAUCCUGCAGCGAGCCAGCCCCUGUUGGGGGGAGGUGAGGUUGGAUUAAUCCCUCAGUCCUUCUUUUGGCUCCCCCUCUGAUGGGAGGUAUCGCCGGAGGGGUCCCUCCGUUAGAGGACCUCCCUUUGUAAGAGAGCUUUCCCCUUUGCUGUGGGGGGGGCCCCUUCGAAGGGAGUGGAGCUGGAAACCUGUACCGGGGCUCCACUGUUUUCCUUCCCCUGAAACAGUGGCGCCCAGGUUCACCCCUUUAUCCCAUCUCCUAAAUGUACCUUGCCAUAAAUUCCCUUGUUAUUUCAAUACAAGUUUUCCCCCAUUGCUUGUGAUAAUUUGGAAAUAACUUCUUGGAUUGAGUUAUAUCUUAUAGAAGGAAAGAUCAUCCUCUCUAAUUACUACCCACAAUGCGAUGCCAACUUCGCAAUCAAAUUGGAGAAACCACAUCGCUGUUUGCUGCCUGCUUGUGCUCUGCUAGUAUUUGGAAACCACAAGCACCGCGUCAUGAAUCCUGCUUUCAUCCUCGAUACAGAAUGUGUUUAUGAUAAUUUUGUACCCUUUAUCUUAAAUUGUAAUGUGGAAAAGAUUUUUGCCCCAUUCAUUGUAACUAUGAUUGGUGUAACACUUUCUGAUCUCUCGAAUUUGUAACAUUGCUAAUUUUGUUUUUACCUCAGAACUCCCUUUUCUUUAUGUAAUUUCAAAAGAGUGAGCUGUAGGAUUUGUAAUUUUCUCUUCUCCCCCCCUUCACUCCCCCCUCCCCCCGCGGUCCCUUGUCCCGACCCUUUGUUCCCUUAUCUCUCCCCCUCACCAUGCAGUCCGGUCCCUGUCCCCUGCCCCCCCCCCACCCCCCCCCGCGGCUUUCCCAUCGCGGUCCCCGGGGUUUCCCUGCCCCUGUCCCCUGCCCCUGUCCCCUGCCUCCCGUCCCAUUGGCUGUGGCUCAGGUUUCCCCCGCCCCCGGCAUGGGGUAUAACCGAGAGCCCUGCUCGCUCCCCUGGGGUCUCGGGAACACGCUCCCACAAUAAACACGUUUUUGCACCCGA